RNAcentral lists this ribosomal RNA (418 nucleotides) under uncultured eukaryote. RNAcentral's name for it is "bacterial SSU rRNA". It matches the Rfam family "Eukaryotic small subunit ribosomal RNA", at positions 592 to 1016 of the family's 1831-position model. The record is from RNAcentral.
CAAUAGCGUAUAUUAAAGUUGUUGCAGUUAAAAGCUCGUAGUUGGAUUUCGGAGUGGGCCAGUUGGUCCGCCGCAAGGUGUGUUACUGACUGGUUUGCUCUUCUUCGCAAAGACUGCGUGUGCUCUUGAGUGAGUGUGCGUAGAAUUUACGACGUUUACUUUGAGGAAAUUAGAGUGGUUACGGCAAGCUAUCGCUUUGAAUACAUUAGCAUGGAAUAAUAAUAUAGGGCGUAAGUUCUAUCUUGUUGGUUUCUAGAACAUACGCAAUGAUUAAUAGGGACAAUUGGGGGCAUUCGUAUUAACGCGUCAGAGGUGGAAUUCUUAGAUUGCGUUACGACGAACUACUGCGAAAGCAUUUGCCAAGGAUGUUUUCAUUGAUCAAGAACGAAAGUAUGGGGAUCGAAGACGAUCAGAUACC